This 276-nucleotide long non-coding RNA is filed under the name Homarus americanus (American lobster). RNAcentral's name for it is "uncharacterized LOC121866256". Lineage: Eukaryota; Metazoa; Arthropoda; Malacostraca; Decapoda; Nephropidae. The record is from RNAcentral.
ACGCUCAGAAACAGAAUAUUAGUAAACAAACAAGUUUACCUGGUAGGGAGGCUGUCACCUGCCAGUUAAAAUUUAUACAUCACUACAGUGCCACGUUACCUGUGUAUGGGAAACAACAGAUGCAGAGGAAGGCGAGGUCGGGGAAGUGACUGAGUUGACCGACCAACAAAGAUGCAUUAGAGAAACUGUCAAAAGUUCACCAAUUUCCUUCACUCAUCCUGCAGUGGCCCAAGAUAAACUCAUAUCUUAUCAAGAAGUGAAGAACAGGGACAGACU